CAACCCUUAAGCCCUGUAGCUUAGCGCUGGGAGUCCGCUAAUUUUAGCGGUUCCUUAAAGUUAUUGGCGGAGUUAUAGCGUACUCUAAGCGUAGUAAUUUUUAUCUCGCUUCUGUAGUAGCCCUAACUGUUAGCCAUAAAACCCCUAUAUUUUUCUAAU
This 159-nucleotide unclassified non-coding RNA is filed under the name uncultured Xylariaceae. Its description in RNAcentral is "sequence contains ITS2". Lineage: Eukaryota; Fungi; Ascomycota; Sordariomycetes; Xylariales; Xylariaceae. The record is from RNAcentral.